Molecule: ribosomal RNA, 486 nt
Filed under: uncultured bacterium
Lineage: Bacteria
Description: bacterial SSU rRNA
Rfam family: Bacterial small subunit ribosomal RNA
Source: RNAcentral
GAUGAACGCUAGCGGGAGGCUUAACACAUGCAAGUCGAGGGGCAGCAUAGGGUAGCAAUACUCUGAUGGCGACCGGCAAACGGGUGAGUAACGCGUAUGCAACCUACCCUGUACAGGGGGAUAACCCGGAGAAAUUCGGACUAAUAUCCCGUAAUAAUAUCCGGAGGCAUCUUUGGAUAUUAAAGUUCCGACGGUACGGGAUGGGCAUGCGUAACAUUAGCUGGUUGGUAAGGUAACGGCUUACCAAGGCUAUGAUGUUUAGGGGUCCUGAGAGGGUGGUCCCCCACACUGGUACUGAGACACGGACCAGACUCCUACGGGAGGCAGCAGUGAGGAAUAUUGGUCAAUGGGCGCAAGCCUGAGCCAGCCAUCCCGCGUGCAGGAAGACGGCCCUAUGGGUUGUAAACUGCUUUUCCAGGGAGAGAAACUUACGCACGUGUUGCGUGACUGACGGUACCCUGGGAAUAAGCAUCGGCUAACUCCGUG